UCCAAGAUCAUGUUUUCGCACAUUCGAACUCUCAAUGAAUAUCCAGCUGAAGUAUAUUUACUUAUGGUAGUUAAUCAUGAAAAUAACUGAGCAGGAAUUUGAAAUUGAUUAUUAAUUUGAAAGUUGGUAAAGUCGGAAUUUAAUCAGUAUGUUUAAAAAUAUUUCCAGAAAGUCCUAUUAAAGGUACACCAUUCAAGUUCCGAGGUGGCUGUUUGUAGUAAAGACCAUGGAUUUGAACUGUGAUGAUGUGUAUGAUGAUAGACUUGAAGAAUAUAAAGGUUCCAUACCUGGAGAAACUGAGAAGAAGUCUUCAUCACAUUCAUUUCAAAUGAUGCCCGAAUUUAAUGAGAGAUUCAGAGCAGCGACAGUGAAGGAAUUGAUCCAUGGUGUGAUGAAUGAUGAGUUGGGAGGGAAAAAAUACACAGUGGAAGACGCUGAGAUGUGGACUAAGAAUAUUGCAACCUCUGUGCGUAACAAGGUGAAAGAGCUCGGGUUUAAGAGAUACAAGUACGUGGUACAAGUUGUGCUUGGGGAACAGCAUGGAGCUGGCAUCAAAAUUGGCUCCCGCUGCCUCUGGGAUGCUGAUACCGAUCACUAUGCCAGUGAUGUUUUUAUUAAUGUGAGUGUAGCCACCUCAGUAUUAGUAGCAACUGAAGAAUGCAUGGAGAGAAGGAAUCCAUAUUUUGCAUGACAGUUGUGUUUGCCAUCUACUUCUACUGAAGGAGUCGUCUUAGUACGGUUCAUCCAUGAUAGUCAGCAUUCAGGAACGAUGAGCUGUGGGAUGACGGGCAGGAUCUUGGGGCCACCAUUCUGCAACAUGUCAUGGAUCCCUUGUUGUGCUAAGAACUUAUAUGGAUGCACUGUUUCGCAGAGUCCUUCGAAGAACUUUGGAAGGUGAUUGUGGUAAUUAAGUUCUUCAAUUUCUACCUGGCAGAGAAAUUAUUUUGAGAGUAGUUGAAAUGAUGAUUUUGUAUCAUGAUCAGUAUAUGUUUUUUUAAGACUGAAGAAAAUGUGCUGUAUUUUAGUGUGUUUGCAACCCUGGUGCACCUAUUAAAAUUCCUACAUUGGUUUAUCACUACAUGUGAAACAACUCAAGAAAAGAUAAAGCUGUUGUGAUUAAAUUUGAUAUUGGAGAAUUUUACACCAUGUUGUAGAUGAUUUCAAUUUUUGUGUAGAUUGGACGAUUUUAAAAACCACUUUACAUAAGAGCAUAAAUAAUCUUUUGAGCUUAUCUCAAUAAAUAGCUGGGAAAAAAGUUGUUUAAAUACAUCUUUUAUUUUCUUGGAUAAGUAUAAGGAAAGUUUGCAUAAUUUCUUGGUUAAGCGUGAAAAAGAGUUGCAAGCAAAGGUAAACUUGUCCGUGGUAAUUACUGAGUUUCACACCAUGGAAAUGUUUAGGGCCAUGGAGGUAUAACUCUGCUCUUUUUUAACUUUGGCUCUAGGUAGAGGUGAGAGGUUGUUUUUAUGUCCUGUGCAAUUUACCCCUAGGGAAAGCUCAUUCACUAAUGUUUAGAGAGGAGGCUCAGUGGGAACCAGAGGUUAAUCUGAAUAAAAUCUCUUGCCCAUGCCAGGAAUAAAACCCUGGUUUUUCAGCCUGCAGCCUGGUCACUGUACUGACAAGUUGCAUGAAUGAAUUUUAGCUUACUUGCAUGAACAUUCACUAUAGCAUUAAAUCAAAGAUGUCUGAUAACACUGAUGUAUUUUCAGCAGUUUCUUUAUGUAAUCUUAUUACAGUAAUUCUACAUAAAUAUAAAUUGCUUUGUUGAGUGGAAGAUUGCAGUUAAAAACAAAACAAGCCAUCUUCAGACUUACCGCCGUGAAAACCUCAAAUCCUACAAGUCUUGAGUUCAAGCUGCGUUGAAGUCAGGCUUAUUUUAUUAUUAAUGCAGUGCUCUGUUACAGUAUGACAAAAAGCAUAUGUUAAACAAAUUAUAUAAAGAUGCCUGUGUUCUGG
This is a non-coding RNA of Zootermopsis nevadensis, 1953 nucleotides long. NCBI's taxonomy places the organism in Eukaryota, Metazoa, Arthropoda, Insecta, Blattodea, Termopsidae. The record is from RefSeq and is a predicted model, not a curated record.